GACGAACGCUGGCGGCGUGCUUAACACAUGCAAGUCGAACGGAAAUGCCCUGCUUUUGUGGGGUGCUCGAGUGGCGAACGGGUGAGUAACCCUUGAGUAACCUGCCCUUGAUUUUGGGAUAACUUCAUGAAACUGGUGCUAAUACCGGAUAGGAGCUCCUGCUUCUUGGUGGGGGUUGGAAAGUUUCGGCGGUUGGUGAUGGACUCGCGGCUUAUCAGCUUGUUGGUGGGGUAGUGGCUUACCAAAGCUUUGACGGGUAGCCGGGCUGAGAGGGUGACCGGACAAAUUGGGACUGAGAUAAGGCACAGACUCAUACGGGAGGCAGGAGUGGGGAAGAGUGCACAAUGGGAGGAAGGAUGAUGCAGCAAAGCCGCGUGCGGGAAGAGGGGAUGCGGGUUGGAAACCGAUAUCGUCUGUGACGAAGCGUGAGUGACGGUAAUGGGAAAAGAAGCACCGGCUAACUACGUG
RNAcentral lists this ribosomal RNA (468 nucleotides) under uncultured bacterium. RNAcentral's name for it is "partial 16S ribosomal RNA". It matches the Rfam family "Bacterial small subunit ribosomal RNA", at positions 28 to 507 of the family's 1533-position model. The record is from RNAcentral.